Molecule: long non-coding RNA, 4038 nt
Filed under: Homo sapiens (human)
Lineage: Eukaryota; Metazoa; Chordata; Mammalia; Primates; Hominidae
Description: HSALNT0161758
Source: RNAcentral
AGAUUUUUGACCUUAGCCACCAGAAGUUUGGAAUUAUUUACUGAGAUAGCAUAUACUGCAGAAGGGGCAAGUUGGGUGGAGAAAUGUACUAAUAUUAAUCCAAUCUACCUAUCUACACACACAUAUGUAUGUGUAGCACUUCACAGUUAACAAUCUAUUUGUUAUUCACACUCAGGGAUCUCAUUUGCUUUCUUUCACUGCAGGAAGCUGAGAGUGCUGAGGGCACAUCUGAAACCACUGGAGGUUGGCGACGUGGAGGUCAGGUAGUAGUGCUCUCCCACCAGGAGUCCCUCUGCACCCCUGGAGAGAGCAGUCAUUAUGCAGGACAACCCAUCUGCUCAGAACUUUCAGUGGCGACUUGUGGUGUGACUCUGUUCCCAUUCAUCUAUGUGCUGCUGUAGGCUUAGCUUCCCACAGCCUCCCCAGCUUUGCCAUUUGUCAUUAUCAUUUACUCUUAAUAUUUAUUCUAUCUAUGACCCUGAUGCACAGAGUGAUAGCUGAUAGUCUCUUAAAACAACGUUUACAAUUAUUUUGACAGUUUACCGUGUUUUGUUCUCUCAACAAUACUUAGAAUUUGUCUGAGUUAUAGUUGCAUAGACGGCAAUUUUCCUGACCUAGUUUUCUGACUAUGAUUUAUGGGUCAGUAAACUCCUUAAAUGAUGGAAUAUAACAUCUCAGGCCACAGGGAACACUUACUAUCACAUGCUCACUGUUGCAGGACGGAUGCGUGGCCAGCCUCAGGUUGCUAAAUGUUAGGGUGAUCUGCCUUCCUUCUGGGGCGGUGAUUCUCCACUUGUAGAUCCGGCCAUGAGGAUUUAGGUUCGGGUAGUUGGGAGAAGUAGAUGUUCCAGCAGAGCCCUGAAGAUCCCCACCACACUCUGAUGUGGGGGAAGAAAGCCAAGAAAACUUCCAAUCAAAUCAAAAUGUCUCCUUCCAUCAGGAAAGCUCUCAAAAUUCAGGUGUCCUGCGUGUACAAAGAAAAUAAUAAAAAACAAGACCUUGCCCAUGAAGAAAUAUUAAUCUCUCUCAAGAAAACAGGAAAACAUGAAUGAAAAUUAACAUAUUCAAAUAUAUGAAGAAGUGAAAAAAAUGCAACCAGUUAGGGGAAGGAUAUCUCAGGAUAAUGAGGAAGGCCAGUUUUUUGGUUGAAAAAGUGGUUUGAGACAACAGAGUGACAAAUAUCUGCCUUAUGCUACUGCCAGGAGACAUGCAUGACCCUCUUUCUGCCUCAAGCUAUAGAACACCCCUCAAAUAACGGCAUCUGGCAAUGGGAUGUCUCAGCAGCAACAGGUUGCCUUCCCACUACCGUUGCUCUCCCCAGGUGGCCUCCAGGGUAGGCUAUAUGACACCUGGGCUCUGGACAUCCAUUGUUAAUGGUAGAAUUGAGGUAGAGAAUCACUGGUACUGCCCAAAGCCCAUUAAUCUGCACUUCUUUGCAGAGUAUAGACAUGCUUUGCCUUUCUUGGAAGUGAAGAAACUUCAGAGGCUGAAUAAGUACAUGCGAAAAUAAACACCCCAAAGAGAGCAGAUAUAUUUCACUAACCAGAAGUAUGAUAGUCCCAGGUCUCCACAAAGUCUUUUUCACAGCCAGAGGAAUUCUGAAGGUUAAAAUCUUCAAAAGAGAUGGUGAGAUAGUGUCUGGAGAGCCCCUGGAGAUGCCAAUCACAGAAUAAGUUGUCUCUAUAUGGAAGCAUUAGAUGGCCAAUGCUUUCAACAACACCACUUUGCCCUGUUACUCUUCCCCCACACUGAGCUGAAAAAAAAAAGAAAGAAAGAAAGAAAAGAAAGAAAGGAUUCUAUUACAAACUGUGUUUUUUUCAUUUCACCAGCACAUGUGAAAACUUUUAGGUGCCAAGUGACUAUGAAUUGAAGUUUUUAAAAUUCUGAAAAUGCUUAGUGCUUUCCUCAUUAUUUGAAUUCUAGGGUUGAUGUAAACAGAAGUGAUACCACAAGUCCAAUCCAAUAAUGGGAAACAAGAUGACGACCAAAUGGCACAUUCUGUAAUGUCACAUUAAUUCUUUUGGGACACUAUGUAAGAGCUAUCAGUUGCAAGCAAGUUUCAUCUCAAGAACAAACUGGUAGACUCAUCUGACCUGCCUAGAACCUUGUGUUGAUUCUAAAGACUGAACCCAAGCUCACCUGGAAGGGGGGACACCUGCUAUAUCUAGUUUUACUAUCAACUAAACUUUCACUACUGUAACUGAUAUCUCAGGGCCUUGAAAAUUACUAUUCAAUUAUGUCUUAUUAGCUGGAUGUGGUAGCUAAUUGAAUUAUAUGCAGCUUGACCCGGGAUAUAAUAUGAUCUAUGGUGUAGUUAAAUACUGUUACAACUAGCCUUUCUGAACUUUUGCUAUAUUAAAUAUUUGUUUGGUUUGUGUCUAGACCUAUCAGAUACUAAAUUGUGUGCUAUUGUGACCAUACUAUAGUGAAUCUUCAACAAGCAAAGUUACUGCUCAAUUUUUAAGUAAGGAAAUCAAAAUCCUGAAGAGACAUAUUUGCUUUUUAUCCAGUGACUGAUUUGGCACUAGAGACUCAGAGAAAAAAAAAAAGCUUAAUCAUUUUAUAUAUGAUGAGGAAUUCAAAGACAUUGUUCUAAAUAUAGUUAUCUGGUUCUUAAAUAGUUGUAUUACUUAAAGUAAUAAACAUACUGUAGUUCUUCCUUUUCCUUGGCGGAUACAUUCCAAGUCCCCCCAGUGAGUGCCUAAAACCUUGGAUAGUACCAAACCCUAUAUAGACAUAUAGACAAUUUUUUUCUACAUAUAUGUACCUAUGAUAAAGCUUGCUUUAUCAAUUAAACGUAGUAAGAGAUUAACUAAUAAUAAAAUAGAACAAUCAUAACAAUAUACUGUAAGAAAAGUUAUGUAAAUGUGGUCUCUCAAAAUAUCUUGGUGUACUGUACUCACCUAUUUUUUGGGCCUCUGUUUACCAAGUGCAUUGAAACCAUGGAACAUGAAACCAUGGAUAAGAGAGAACUACUGAAUUUCAUAGUAAGCAGAAGAAACAGGAGUUUGAUUUAACUACACAUAUUUCUUCACAAAUAAGUUAGAAAAAAUAUAAAAUAUUCAAGUUUACUAAGAUUACAUUUUAAAAUAAAAAUUAAAAGAGAAAUUAAAGUUGAUGACUGUGGUUUUAAACAUUUACACUCCUUACUUAUUUAUAGCAUUAAAAUAUUUUUAAAAUUAUGCAGAUAGAAUGACUUCUUUUUAAAAAGUCAUGGUUUUAAAAAAAGUUUUAACAUAUUCAUCCUGUAAUAACUCUUUUAUUUAAUAUAAAAAUGUUUUCCAGGGUUUUUAUAGUUUUGUGUUUUACAGUUAAGUCUUCAAUCUAUCUUGAAUUGAUUUUUGUAUAUGGUAUAAGGAAGGGGUCCAGUUUCAAUCUUCCGCAUAUUGCUAGCCAGUUCUCCCAGCAUCAUUUAUUGGAUAGGGAGUCUUUUCCCCAUUGCUUGCUUUUGUCAGCUUUGUUGAAGAUCAGAUGCCUGUAAGUGUGAGGCCCUAUUUCUAAGCUCUCUAUUCCAUUUUAUUGGUCUAUGUGUCUAUUUUUGUACCAGUACCAUGCUGUUUUGGUUACUGUACCCCUGUAGUAUAGUUUCAAGUCAGGUAUUGUGAUGCCUCCAGCUUUGUUCUUUUAGUUUAGGAUUGCCUUGGUUAUUUGGGUUCUUUCUGGGGUCCAUAUGAGUUUUAAAAUAGUUUUUUCUAGUACUGUGAAGAAUGUCAUGGUAGUUUGAUAGGAAUAGCAUUGAAUAUGUAAAUUUGGGGAAGCAGUAUGACCACUUUAAUAAUACUGAUUCUUCCUAUCUAUGAGCAUGGAAUUUUUUUUCAUUUGAUAGGGUGGAGGGUGGGAGAAGGGAGAGGGGCAGAAAAAAUAGCUAUUAGAUACUAGGCUUAGUACCUGAGUGAUGAAAUAAUCUUUAUAAUGACCCCCAUGGCACGAGUUUACCUAUAUAACAAACCUGCACAUGUAACCCUGAACCUAAAAUAAAAGUUAAAAAAUAUAUAUUACCUAUAGAAUACUUGGCCUUGAAUCCCACAUGAGUGGGGC